This 468-nucleotide ribosomal RNA is filed under the name uncultured bacterium. RNAcentral's name for it is "partial 16S ribosomal RNA". It matches the Rfam family "Bacterial small subunit ribosomal RNA", at positions 28 to 507 of the family's 1533-position model. The record is from RNAcentral.
GACGAACGCUGGCGGCGUGCUUAACACAUGCAAGUCGAACGGAAAGGCCCUGCUUUUGUGGGGUGCUCGAGUGGCGAACGGGUGAGUAACACGUGAGUAACCUGCCCUUGACUUUGGGAUAACUUCAGGAAACUGGGGCUAAUACCGGAUAGGAGCUCCUGCUGCAUGGUGGGGGUUGGAAAGUUUCGGCGGUUGGGGAUGGACUCGCGGCUUAUCAGCUUGUUGGUGAGGUAGUGGCUUACCAAGGCUUUGACGGGUAGCCGGCCUGAGAGGGGGACCGGCCACAUUGGGACUGAGAUACGGCCCAGACUCCUACGGGAGGCAGCAGUGGGGAAUAUUGCACAAUGGGCGGAAGCCUGAUGCAGCAACGCCGCGUGCGGGAUGACGGCCUUCGGGUUGUAAACCGCUUUCGCCUGUGACGAAGAGUGAGUGACGGUAAUGGGUAAAGAAGCACCGGCUAACUACGUG